RNAcentral lists this transfer RNA (74 nucleotides) under Marchantia polymorpha subsp. ruderalis. RNAcentral describes it as "tRNA-Arg". It matches the Rfam family "tRNA". Rfam says of the family: Transfer RNA (tRNA) molecules are approximately 80 nucleotides in length. Their secondary structure includes four short double-helical elements and three loops (D, anti-codon, and T loops). Further hydrogen bonds mediate the characteristic L-shaped molecular structure. tRNAs have two regions of fundamental functional importance: the anti-codon, which is responsible for specific mRNA codon recognition, and the 3' end, to which the tRNAs corresponding amino acid is attached (by aminoacyl-tRNA synthetases). tRNAs cope with the degeneracy of the genetic code in two manners: having more than one tRNA (with a specific anti-codon) for a particular amino acid; and 'wobble' base-pairing, i.e. permitting non-standard base-pairing at the 3rd anti-codon position. The record is from RNAcentral. Lineage: Eukaryota; Viridiplantae; Streptophyta; Marchantiopsida; Marchantiales; Marchantiaceae.
GACCGUGUGGCCCAAUGGAUAAGACGCUAGCCUACGGAGCUAGAGAUUCUGGGUUCGAUCCUCAGCAUGGUCGA